GCAAGUUGAACGGUAACAGAGGUGCUUGCACCUGCUGACGAGUAGCGAAAGGGUGAGUAGCCCGUGAGUAACCUGCCUUAAAGUCGGGGAUAGCCCUUGGAAACGAGGAUUAAUACCGGAUGUGGUUAACAGAUCGCAUGAUCUAUUAACUAAAAUCUUUUUGCUUUAAGAUGGGCUCGCGUAUCAUCAGCUAGUUGGUAAGGUAACGGCUUACCAAGGCGACGACGAUUAGGUGGUCUGAGAGGACGAUC
RNAcentral lists this ribosomal RNA (251 nucleotides) under uncultured bacterium. RNAcentral's name for it is "partial 16S ribosomal RNA". It matches the Rfam family "Bacterial small subunit ribosomal RNA", at positions 57 to 305 of the family's 1533-position model. The record is from RNAcentral.